CCUACGGGGGGCUGCAGUAGGGAAUUUUCGGCAAUGGGGGCAACCCUGACCGAGCAAUGCCGCGUGAAUGAUGAAGGUCCUCGGAUCGUAAAGUUCUGUUAUCAGGAAAGAACAUCAUGGAGAGUGGAAAGCUCCAUGACUGACGGUACCUGAUUAGAAAGCCCCGGCUAACUAUGUGCCAGCAGCCGCGGUAAUACAUAGGGGGCGAGCGUUAUCCGGAAUUAUUGGGCGUAAAGCGUGCGUAGGCGGUUACUUAAGUCUGGUGUAAAAACCCAAAGCUUAACUUUGGGAGGUCAUUGGAAACUGGGUAACUUGAGUAUGGUAGAGGUAAGUGGAAUUCCAAGUGGAGCGGUGGAAUGCGUAGAGAUUUGGAGGAACACCAGUGGCGAAGGCGGCUUACUGGGCCAUUACUGACGCUCAGGCACGAAAGCGUGGGGAGCAAACAGGAUUAGAUACCCUGGUAGUC
This 466-nucleotide ribosomal RNA is filed under the name uncultured bacterium. RNAcentral's name for it is "bacterial SSU rRNA". It matches the Rfam family "Bacterial small subunit ribosomal RNA", at positions 338 to 795 of the family's 1533-position model. The record is from RNAcentral.